UUGGAUAAAGCACCGUAGCGAUGUACUCCUCCAGCUCGUCCACCCUAGGCAGCAGCGCCUUGACCGGCUCGGCGACCCUGAACCGCUCCGCCCAUGCUGCUAGUUUCGGCGCCCUCGCCGGGUCGAUAAGCGGCUCCAAGCCGGCCAGGCGGCCUACUGCCUCAAACCAAGGAAGAUAGCACCCGAGCGCGAUGUCAAGGAACCCGAUGGAGCAACCACUGAAGAACGGCGCCUCCACCUCCCCUUUAGAGCACUCUGCCAAGGCAGCUUCCAAGUGUCGGAGCCCGGACAGGGUCUCCUCCACCUUACUGGCUCUCUCCUCCUGCUUCGCUGUCUUGAGGAUGCCGGUGCACGAAGGGAACAACUGCGGCAACAAAGCGAAUUGAGAGGUGCAACUCCACGCGCAACGAGAGGUAAUCUGUCAAAUGAACUAACCUUGUCAUUCACAUAGGCGGCCCAAACGCGAGCGGCUGCGCGGCUGUAGGGGUCUGCGGGGAGGAUGGACGUGUCGUUGCCGGCAAGGCCAGGGGCAUCGUUGAGGUACUCCACAUAAAACUACGUCCCGUUUGGUCGUCAUCGCAUCACUGGAGAGAGAACGAAAACGAGAAAAGUGUGGACCUCGCCGAUCCUGUCACANNNNNNNNNNNNNNNNNNNNNNNNNNNNNNNNNNNNNNNNNNNNNNNNNNNNNNNNNNNNNNNNNNNNNNNNNNNNNNNNNNNNNNNNNNNNNNNNNNNNNNNNNNNNNNNNNNNNNNNNNNNNNNNNNNNNNNNNNNNNNNNNNNNNNNNNNNNNNNNNNNNNNNNNNNNNNNNNNNNNNNNNNNNNNNNNNNNNNNNNNNNNNNNNNNNNNNNNNNNNNNNNNNNNNNNNNNNNNNNNNNNNNNNNNNNNNNNNNNNNNNNNNNNNNNNNNNNNNNNNNNNNNNNNNNNNNNNNNNNNNNNNNNNNNNNNNNNNGACAGAGUUCGGAGCUCACAAUUUCUGGGUCUCCCAAGCAAAUCAAAGCAGGGUUGCAGCUCUGCAGUAUUUUUGUCUUGGAAAACGACCUGCCUGAGCAUAUUUAAACAAGGAGUACCAAGACUAACUAUUGACACACCCCGCAAAAAGAAAAAAGACUAACUAUUGACACUUUCGUGUACAGGUAUCAGAUUUUCCUGUUCUACGCAUGCAGCCAAAUUUUAAUUAACAAGUACCCCUCUGUAAAGAAAGAUAAGAGCAUUUAGAUCACUAACGCUAUUAUAUUUUUAUAUGGAGGCAGUUCCAUUAAUUUGAUUGUAGUUGCAGACUUGCAGGUCAUAGCGUUUGGAAGCAUUCCAACCAGACCUUAUCGGCUUAGCAUCUUGAUUUAAAAUAUUGCAAAGUGUCACUACAUGACAUGCAUCUCGACCAGCAACUUUACACCUACACCAUAGCGGGGAUCAAAGUCAUGCACGUAACUCUCUUAUUAUUUGAUAGCUCACUUAUUGACACCAAUUGCCGGCAUUUUGAAUCUGGACUUUUUACUGAUUUAAUACACAGUUUCUGGCAUUUAUCUUGUAUUUUUGUUUUAUUCCAUAGGUUGCGCCACUUAACAGUUUUCCGGUCUAACCUUGGGAGGGAAGACGAUGUCUCGCUGAGGUGAUGACGGACCAGGCGCCACCUCGAUGGGAACAAUAUCACAAAAUAUUAGCAAAUAAUUCAUGGUGAUGUGAUGAGCUUCAUGCUAUUGGUGUUUCUCGGUUGCACCAACUUGGUUCAUGCGGAAGCAUGCCUUGGUCCACACAGAUUAUUUGCUAACAUUUUGUGACACACACAUAUUUUCUUGUUUUUGUAGAUUUUUUCGACAAAGCUCGUUUCUGUAGAUAGCUAAACUAGGUGAUGUCUCGCUGAGGUGAUGACCGACCAGCACUAGUAGAAAAAGGGCCUAUUGUCCCGGUUGGUAAGGGCCUUUUGUCCCGGUUUUUGAACCGGGACUAAAGGGUCGUUACUAAUGCCAUAACCCUUUAGUCCCGGUUCUUACACGAACCGGGAUAGAUGGGCCUCCACGUGGCCGGUGCGGCGAGCCCAGGCAUGAGAGCCUUUGGUCCCGGUUGGUGGCACUAACCGGGACCAAUAGGCAUCCAUGUGUCAGCAUUUCAGGGGCUGGGGUUUUUGUUUUUUUUUUGAAAGGAGGGGGGGUUUGGGGGUUUUGGGGGGUUAAUUUAGGUCUUACAUAUAUUGUGUUAGCUAGCUAAUUAAUAGAGAGAAGUGUCCUCUCUUAUCUCCGUGCUUGGUCGACGCUACGUACUAUAUACGUAUGGAGAGGACUAGACACGCUAGCUAGUAAUCAAAUGAAGGAAACAGAAGAUCGUCAUGAACAUAUGCAUACAGAGAGAAGUGAUAUCGACCACCUCUCCUUCUCCGAGAGAUUGGUCGAAAAACAAUUUCUCGUAUAUCUAUCCGACACUACCGGCUACAUAUAUACAAUAAUUAUCUCUUACAAUAUAAUCUCCUAAUUAAAUUGUAAGAACACAGGGUCCACAUAGUAUUCUCCGUUUUCAGCGAUCACGUGGUCAAGGAAGAAUGCCGCCAAUUCCUCUUGAAUUGCUCGCAUACGAUCUGGUGCUAGGAGUUCAUCCCGCAUCCGAAAAAUCUAAUUUGAAGAAGGGGGUCAAUAUAUAUAUAUGAAUAAAUGAAACUCAACACAAAUGAUGGUAAUAAAAUAAAAUUGUGAAUAUUAUUGCUUACGCGCUUCAUAUUGUUCGUCAGAGUAGCCCCGCUCACAGGUCGUGUAGCGGAUGGACUCGCAAACAUAGUACCCACAGUAAUUAUUCCCGGGUUCCUGCCACAACCACUUUACAAGAAAUAGAGGUUAAUCAAACUGAUAAGCAAGCAUGAAUGGUGUUGAUGAAACUAGCGCUUGAAUCACAAGGAGAUGCGCGGAACAUGCUACUAUAGUACUUACUUUCGGGUGUUUAAAUUGUAGCUUCUUCGGCAAUCCCGGAGCUUUUUUGGUGAAUUUUCUCUAAGCCCCGCCAGACAAAGAAAACAAUUACUUGAUAUCAGGAAAUGAACAAAGUUGCUGAUAUGGUGGAUAAUGAUCGAUUUAACUUACUUCUCGAGCAUUUGAGUCAUGUCCGCAUAGUCCUUGGGAUCUUUUCGUCUCAAGUCUAAGACGGUUACUACUCCCUGCUCAAGCUUAAUCUCUAGGAGAAUAUAGUGGAAGCUGCGCACGCAUGCAUAAGUCAUCAAUUACAUUACUAUAAUCUGAACUAAUAAGGGAAACCGAAUAUGCACAAGACAGUAACACUCACUUGAAGUUGUAAGGAAAGAGUACUUAUUUAUGUUACUUUAUGAUAAUUCUUUUUGCUAUUAAAGUUUCUAACAAAAAGGGUUUUUUAUGAAAAUUAUUUUUGCUUUCAAUGAUUUUGAACAGAAAAUACUUCGAUAAUUUUAGUUGCAUCAAUUUUAUAUAAUUUUAGUUUCAAUAAUACUAGAGGUUGCUUAUAAUGUUUUGAACAGAAAAUACUUCGAUAAUUUUAGUUUCGUAAAUUUUAUUUAUGUUAUUAAAGUUUAUUUUAUUUUGUUUCUACUUAUAUAUUUUAUUAAAGUUUAUAUUAUUUUGUUUGUAAUUACUUAUUUAUUUUAUUUGUUAUUUUUCAUGCACCAUUUUUCAUGCAUUUACUGAUUAUUUUGAGCUAUAAGACCCUAAAAUUGAAAAGCAUUUCAAAUGAACUCUGAAAAGGUUGAAAGUUGGCAUGGUAUCAUCAUUUCAUCCACAUAGCAUGUGCAAGAAAGUUGAGAGGGUUACGGCAAAAACUGGAUGCACUUCGUGUACAAAACGGACAAUCUCUUUCGAAGUAUCAGGAUUUCAUACGGAAACUCGUCUGUUACAAAGGGAUUUCAUUUUUUAAAACUUAUUUGAACUCCUGACUUUUUGUGUGUUCAAAAUGCACCAUUCAAAGCCACAUCAUCAAUUUUCAACCCUUUCUGACUUCAUUUGUUAUUUUUCAUUCAUUUAUUGAUUAUUUUGAGCUAUAAGACCCUGAAAUUGAAAAGCAUUUCAAAUGAACUCUGAAAAGGUUGAAAGUUGGCAUGGUAUCAUCAUUUCAUCCACAUAGCAUGUGCAAGAAAGUUGAGAGGGUUACGGCAAAAACUGGAUGCACUUCGUGUACAAAACGGACAAUGGUAUCAUACUCGUCUGUUACAAAGUUGGCAUGGUAUCAUCAUAAUAGUUGCAGGAGAAAGUAUUCACUUUUUCUUCGCUUGUGUCAUUUGCUUAUUGCGCCGUAACCAUGGAUAAUCUUCAUCGUUUAUCAGGAUGCUUGGGUCAGCCUUGACUUUGAAGGGAGGAAUUUCAUGGAACUUUUCAUAAUCUUCAGACAUGUCUGUCUUGCCCUCCACUCCCACAAUGUCCCUUUUUUCCUGAAAGAACUAUGUGGCGCUUUGGCUCAUCGUAUGAUGUAUUCGCUUCCUUAUCUUUUCUUUUUCUCGGUCUGGUAGACAUGUCCUUCACAUAGAUAACCUGUGCCACAUCAUUGGCUAGGACGAACGGUUCGUCAGUGUACCCAAGAUUGUUCAGAUCCACUGUUGUCAUUCCGUACUGUGGGUCUACCUGUACCGCACCUCCUGACAGAUUGACCCAUUUGCACUUAAAAAAAGGGACCUUAAAAUCAUGUCCGUAGUCAAGUUCCCAUAUGUCCAUUAUGUAACCAUAAUAUGUGUCCUUUCCCCUCUCGGUUGCUGCAUCAAAGCGGACACCGCUGUUUUGGUUGGUGCUCUUUUGAUCUUGGGCGAUCGUGUAAAAUGUAUUCCCAUUUAUCUCGUAUCCUUCGUAAGUCAAUACAGUCGAAGAUGGUCCCCUGGACAACGAGUACAACUCAUCACAAACAGUGGUGUCACCUCUGAGACGUGUUUCCAACCAACUGCUGAAAGUCCUGAUGUGUUCACAUGUAAUCCAGUCGUCACACUGCUCCGGGUGUUUGGAGCGCAGACUGUUCUUGUGUUCAUCGACAUACGGGGUCACCAAGGUAGAGUUCUGUAGAACUGUGUAGUGUGCUUGAGACCAAGAAUGUCCGUCCUGCAUAUUAUUGAGUCCGCUCCUAGCGUGCCUUUUCCAGUCAGUCUCCCCUCAUACCGCGAUUUAGGGAGACCUAUCUUCUUAAGGCCAGGAAUGAAGUCAACACAAAACCCAAUGACAUCCUCUGUUUGAUGGCCCAUGGAGAUGCUUCCUUCUGGCCUAGCGCGGUUACGGACAUAUUUCUUUAGGACUCCCAUGAACCUCUCAAAGGGGAACAUAUUGUGUAGAAAUACGGGCCCCAGAAUGACAAUCUUGUCGACUAGAUGAACUAGGACGUGCGUCAUGAUAUUGAAGAAGGAUGGUGGGAACACCAGCUCGAAACUGACAAGACAUUGCGCCACAUCACUCCUUAGCCUUGGUAUGAUUUCUGGAUCAAUCACCUUCUGAGAGAUUGCAUUGAGGAGUGCACAUAGCUUCACAAUGGCUAAUCGGACGUUUUCCGGUAGAAGCCCCCUCAAUGCAACCGGAAGCAGUUGCGUCAUAAUCACGUGGCAGUCAUGAGACUUUAGGUUCUGGAACUUUUCUCUGGCAUAUUUAUUAUUCCCUUUAUAUUCGACGAGAAGCCAGUCGGGACCUUCAUACUGAGCAGGCAUUCAAAGAAGAUUUAUUUCUCUUCUUUCGUAAGAGCGUAGCUGGCAGGACCUUCAUACUGCUUCGGAGGCAUGCCGCCUUUUUCGUGCAAACGUUGCAGGUCCUCCCGUGCCUCAGGUGUAUCUUUUGUCUUCCCAUACACGCCCAAGGAGCCUAGCAGGUUCACUCAAAGAUUCUUCGUCACGUGCAUCACGUCGAUUGAAGAGCGGACCUCUAGGUCUUUCCAGUAGGGUAGGUUCCAAAAUAUAGAUUUCUUCUUCCACAUGGGUGCGUGUCCCUCAGCGUCAUUCGGAACAGUUAGUCCGCCGGGACCCUUUCCAAAGAUUACGUGUAAAUCAUUGACCAUAGCAAGUACGUGAUCACCGGUACGCAUGGCAGGCUUCUUCCGGUGAUCUGCCUCACCUUUGAAAUGCUUGCCUUUCUUUCAACAUUGAUGGUUGGUCGGAAGAAAUCGACGAUGGCCCAGGUACACAUUCUUCCUGCAUUUGUCCAGGUAUAUACUUUCAGUGUCAUCUAAACAGUGCGUGCAUGAGUGGUAUCCCUUGUUUGUCUGUCCUGAAAGGUUACUGAGAGCGGGCCAAUCGUUGAUGGUUACAAACAGCAACGCGUGCAGGUUAAAUUCCUCCUGUUUGUGCUCAUCCCACGUACGUACACCGUUUCCAUUCCACAGCUGUAAAAGUUCUUCAACUAAUGGCCUUAGGUACACAUCAAUGUCGUUGCCGGGUUGCUUAGGGCCUUGGAUAAGAACUGGCAUCAUAAUGAACUUCCGCUUCAUGAACAUCCAAGGAGGAAGGUUCUACAUACAUAGAGUCACGGGCCAGGUGCUGUGAUUGCUGCUCUGCUCCCCGAAAGGAUUAAUGCCAUCCGCGCUUAAACCAAACCAUACGUUCCUUGGGUCUGCUGCAAACUCAGCCCAGUACUUUCUCUCGAUUUUUCUCCACUCCGACCCGUCAGCGGGUGCUCUCAACUUCCCGUCUUUCUUACGGUCCUCACUAUGCCAUCGCAUCAACUUGGCAUGCUCUUCGUUUCUGAACAGACGUUUCAACCGUGGUAUUAUAGGAGCAUACCACAUCACCUUCGCAGGAACCCUCAUCCUGGGGGGCUCGCCGUCAACAUCACCAGGGUCAUCUUGUCUGAUCUUAUACCGCAAUGCACCGCAUACCGGGCAUGCGUUCAGAUCCUUGUACGCACCGCGGUAGAGGAUGCAGUCAUUAGGGCAUGCAUGUAUCUUCUGCACCUCCAAUCCUAGAGGGCAUACGACCUUCUUUGUUGCGUAUGUACUGUCGGGCAAUUCGUUAUCCUUUGGAAGCUUCUUCUUCAAUAUUUUCAAUAGCUUCUCAAACCUUUGUCAGGCACAGCAUUCUCUGCCUUCCACUGCAGCAAUUCUAGUACGGUACCGAGCUUUGUGUUGCCAUCUUCGCAAUUGGGGUACAACCCUUUUUUGUGAUCCUCUAACAUGCGAUCGAACUUCAGCUUCUCCUUUUGACUUUCGCAUUGCGUCCUUGCAUCGACAAUGACCCGGCGGAGAUCAUCAUCAUCGGGCACUGGUUCCUCUUGAUCUUCAGCAGCUUCCCUUGUUGCAGCAUCAUUGGGCACAUCGUCUGGUUCCUCUUGAUCUUCAGCAGCUUCCCCCGUUGCAGCAUCACCGUAUUCAGGGGGCACAUAGUUGUCAUCGUCCUCUUCUUCUUCGCCGUCUUCCAUCAUAAACCCUAUUUCUCCGUGCCUCGUCCAAACAUUAUAGUGUGGCAUGAAACCCUUGUAAAGCAGGUGGGUGUGAAGGAUUUUCCGGUCAGAGUAAGACUUCGUAUUCCCACAUUUAGGGCAUGGACAACACAUAAAACCAUUCUGCUUGUUUGCCUCAGCCACUUCGAGAAAAUCAUGCACGCCCUUAAUGUACUCGGAGGUGUGUCUGUCACCGUACAUCCAUUGCCGGUUCAUCUGCGUGCAUUAUAUAUAGUUAAGUGUGUCAAAAACCAUUACAGAACAUCAUGAAUAGAUAAUUAAGUGACCAAAUUAAUAGAAGUUCAUCAUCACAUUAAAACCAAAGUACAUACAUAGUUCUCAUCUAACAACAUAUAGCUCUCCAGAGCAUCUAAUUAAUUAAACCAUACAUUGAAACUAUGUAAAACAUUUCAAUGCGAAAACAAAUGCGAUCAUAAUCGCAACCAAGGUAACAAUUGACCCAACGGCAUAAUGAUACCAAGCCUCGGUAUGAAUGACAUAUUUUCUAAUCUUUCUAAUCUUCAAGCGCAUUGCAUCCAUCUUGAUCUUGUGAUCAUCGACGACAUCCGCAACAUGCAACUCCAAUAUCAUCUUCUCCUCCUCAAUUUUUUUUAUUUUUUCCUUCAAGAAAUUGUUUUCUUCUUCAACUAAAUUUAACCUCUCGACAAUAGGGUCGGUUGGAAUUUCCGGUUCACAUACCUCCUAGAUAAAUAAAAUCUAUGUCACGUUGGUCGGCAUAAUUUUCAUAAACAAUAAAUGAACCAAUAGUUAUAAAGAUAAUAUAUACCACAUCCGAAUCAUAGACAGGACGAGGGCCGAUGGGGGCGGAUACAAAAACCAUCGCACUAUAUAAUAACAAGCAAUAAAAUAGUAAGAAAAUUAGACAAGUAUCUAUCUAAAGUAAUUUUUUUUCUUUCAGAAAGAAGAUAAGAACAAGAGGCUCACCAUGGUGGUGCCGGCGACGAGAUCGGCGCCGGCGAUCGACGGCGGUGAAGACGGGAAUGGGACAUGACGGGCCGCUAAGCCUAGACAAAUCUCGAGGAAAAUGGAGCUUUGAGGUCGAGCUUCGAGAGGAGAAAGCUUAACUAGUGUGGCUCGGGCAUUUCAUCGAACACCUCAUGUGCAUAGGAGGUGAGCUAGAGCACCACAAAGCCCUCCCCUCGCCGGCCAGAGAAAAACAGAGCACUGGAGUGCUCUGCUCGCGGGCGAGGGGUAUAUAUAGGCACCUCAUUGGUCCCGGUUCGUGGCAUGAACCGGGACUAAAAGGCCUGUGGUCCAGGUUCAAGCCACCAACCGGGACCAAUGGUGGUGGGCCAAGAGCGAGGCCCAUUGGUCCCGCUUCGCCCACCAACCGGGACCAAAGGGGCCAGACGAACCGGGACCAAUGCCCUCACGAGGCCCGGCGGGCCCCUGGCCUCACGAACCGGGACCAGUGCCCCCAUUGGUCCCGGUUGUGGACUGAACCAAAGCCCUCUUUUCUACUAGUGCAGUCGCCACCUCGAUGGGAACAAUAUCACAAAAUAUUAGCAAAUAAUUCAUGGUGAUGUGAUGAGCUUCAUGCUAUUGGUGUUUCUCGGUUGCACCAACUUGGUUCAUGCGGAAGCAUGCCUUGGUCCACACAGGUUAUUUGCUAACAUUUUGUGACACACACAUAUUUUCUUGUUUUUGUAGAUUUUUUCGACAAAGCUCGUUUCUGUAGAUAGCUAAAUUAGGUGAUGAUUUAAUUAUAUCACUUCAUGUAUGCUGGAAGGGAAAUUAGGCUGCCCAUAGUGGGAAGUAAUACCUCCACAGUGCAUAGUACCAUAUGACCUUAUUUACAGCCAUGCAAGACAUAUACUAGUGACACUCACAAAAAAUAAGACAUAUACUCCGCAUGAAUCUGUGUAGACCAAGGCAUGCUUCCGCAUGAACCAAGAUUGACGACGCUUCAAUUUAUAAUGAUAUGAUACUCAAUAAAAAAUUUCAUUUAAUUCUAUGUUACCUCAUCAAAAUUGCUUAGUUGGCAUGCAUGAUACUAGUUAUGAUGCUCCCUCCGUUUUUAUUUACCCUGCAUAGUAACUUUGGUCAAAGUCAAACUUUGUAAACUUUGAUAAACUUUAUAGACAAAAAAUAUUAACAUAUACAAUAGCAAAUCAAUAUCAUUAGAUUCAUUAUUGAAAAUACUUUCACAUCAAAUAGAUUUGUUAUUGUAAAUGUUCAUAUUUUUUUUAUAAACUUGGUCAGACUUUAUGAAGUUUUGACUUAAGUGAAAUCUAAUAUGCAGAGUAAAUAAAAACGGAGGGAGUACUUGCACUACACGCAUAACUUAGUUUUAGUGCUUUCUCGAUCCAUAUUAAUUGUCACGGAUUUAGUACAAAGUUACUAAAUCAGCCAAAAUUAAUAUGGAUGUGAGGGAGUAGUGAUUCCUAAAAAAUAUCCCAGCCCUGGUAAAAUCUAGUCCUUAGAAAUCACUACCCACAGCUAUUUAGCCCCGGAAUAAUAUGCUUGGUAGAACAUACUAAGAAUAAGAUGUGAGGUCUUAAAGAGCUCAAUGGAAAAACAUUGCAAGAUGCAAGAUCGACGACGCUUCAAUUUAUUCACGAAACAACAUAUCACAACUCAUAUCGAAGAGAGUGCACGCCUGUGCAUUAUUCAUGACCACAACCCACUAACCCUCGCAAAAAGAAACCCGACUUAGUAGUAACAGUUCAACUCUUGGCGUGAAAACAGCUACUCACAAGGCAGAGAUCAUCCGCUGGUAAUCGAACGACGCCAUUUUUUAUUUCUUUUGCCAUAGUGGAACGACGAGAUCUUUAAUUAGUUGCCGGUGACCGCGAUGUUCCACUUUGGAUAAAGCACCGUAGUGAUGUACUCCUCCAGCUUGUCGACCCCAGGCCUGCUGCUGGAUCGGCUUGGCGACGCUGAACCGCUCCGCCCACGCAGCUAGUUUCGGCGUCCUCGCCAGGUCGAUGAGCGGCCCCAAGCCGGCCAGGCGGCCUACUGCCUCAAACCAAGGAAGAUAGCACCCGAGCGCGAUGUCGAGGAACCCGAUGGAGCCACCACCGAAGAACGGCGCCUCCACCUCCCCUUUGGAGCACUCUGCCAAGGCAGCUUCCAAGUGUCGGAGCCCGGACAGGGUCUCCUCCACCUUACCGCCUCUCUCCUCCUACUUUGCUGUCUUGAGGAUCCCGGUGCACGAAGGGAAC
This 10531-nucleotide long non-coding RNA is filed under the name Triticum aestivum (bread wheat). RNAcentral's name for it is "long non-coding RNA (TAES_LNC000851)". Lineage: Eukaryota; Viridiplantae; Streptophyta; Magnoliopsida; Poales; Poaceae. The record is from RNAcentral.